AUCCCUGUGAGAAUGCCCUACUGUGCUCCAUGCGAGAACAAGGAGCGGGUAUCAGGCACAGACAAUACUAGCCCACGACACCUUGCUAAGCCACACCCCCAAGGGAAUUCAGCAGUAAUAAACAUUAAGCAAUAAGUGUAAACUUGACUUAGUUAAGAUCAAGAGAGCCGGUAAAACUCGUGCCAGCCACCGCGGUUAUACGAGAGGCCCAAGUUGAUAAAUAACGGCGUAAAGAGUGGUUAAUAAAUAUGAAUACUAAGGCCGAACGCCUCCGAGACUGUUAUACGUAUCUGAAGGAAGGAAGAACCCCCACGAAAGUGGCUUUAAACAUAUGACCCCACGAAAGCUAGGACCCAAACUGGGAUUAGAUACCCCACUAUGCCUAGCCCUAAACAAAAGCAGUAAUUAAUACACCCCCUGCUCGCCAGGGAACUACAAGCUCAGGCUUAAAACCCAAAGGACUUGGCGGUGCUUUAGACCCACCUAGAGGAGCCUGUUCUAGAACCGAUAAUCCCCGUUUAACCUCACCCUCUCUUGCCCAGCCCGCCUAUAUACCGCCGUCGUCAGCUUACCCCGUGAGGGAUCAAUAGUAAGCAAAAUUGGCAUAGCCUAAAACGUCAGGUCGAGGUGUAGCGUAUGAGAGGGAAAGAAAUGGGCUACAUUCACUGAGCCAGUGAACAACGGAAAAUGAAAUGAAAUAAGCGUCCUAAGGAGGAUUUAGCAGUAAGAGAAAAAUAGAGAGUUUCUCUGAAACUGGCCCUGAAGCGCGCACACACCGCCCGUCACUCUCCCCAAGCUAAAGUAUACAACUAAAUAAAAAAUAUCCAUGCAUAAGGGGAGGCAAGUCGUAACAUGGUAAGUGUACCGGAAGGUGUACUUGGAAAAAU
Molecule: non-coding RNA, 887 nt
Filed under: Butis amboinensis
Lineage: Eukaryota; Metazoa; Chordata; Actinopteri; Gobiiformes; Eleotridae
Description: partial 12S rRNA
Rfam family: Bacterial small subunit ribosomal RNA
Source: RNAcentral